CUGGCCAAGGAUUUUCCGAGUCAAGUUCGACAGUCUACAUAGGACGUUCUCUCUCACUAUUGAGAGUGUUGAAUUCCUUAUUGCGCAUUCACAUGCCUCCCCAUAUAAACUACUACAGCCAAUGUCACGCCCCAACGCCCCGAGGCCGCUACCGAUUUGGCACGGUUCGGGCGCGACGGGCAGACCGCCGAACGGACAGCACCUCCCCUGUCCGCCCAAGGCUCAACAACGAGAUCAUGUACAAUAAGUCCCCAGGAAAUUAACUUGAAUACAUACAUGAUCAUGCAACAACAGCGAGAGCACAAACAGUGCUGAACAUUACAAGAGCAAGCGUCACGAGUAGUAAACAUACAAGUGAAACAAAAGAGAGAUACUUAACUAUUCUAUUACAACCAUUCAACUUGAUACAUUUAAUUACAACUUAGCUUUCUUUAUCAAAAUAUGAAUAUAAGCUUACAUUCUUCCAAAGAUAAACAUUAGCUUUACAUUUAUCUCGAUACCUCACAUCCUAUACAUCAUCUACUCUCAAUACAUGUAUAGGGUAACUCUAAUGCAAAAUAGGAAAGUAAACUACCAACUAGCACUAGGGCACUAAGCCCAUACCGCGAUCCUCUGCCGAUCCGCUCUCGUGUGUACCUGUACCCCAAAACCACACGGGGUGAGAACUAUAUAAAUAUAGUUCCCAGUGGGUUCGGCCGCCGACUCCGCCGAUCUUCCCACUAGGUCUAAGCUGGCACAGAUAGAUAGAUAGAAAGAUA
Molecule: long non-coding RNA, 758 nt
Filed under: Ananas comosus (pineapple)
Lineage: Eukaryota; Viridiplantae; Streptophyta; Magnoliopsida; Poales; Bromeliaceae
Description: long non-coding RNA (ACOM_LNC042829)
Source: RNAcentral